AUCCAACUGACGAGUCCCGAAUAGGACGAAACGCGAGUCAAAAUGGAU
RNAcentral lists this non-coding RNA (48 nucleotides) under Schistosoma mansoni. The record is from RNAcentral. Lineage: Eukaryota; Metazoa; Platyhelminthes; Trematoda; Strigeidida; Schistosomatidae.